GAUGAAGAACGUAGCGAAAUGCGAUAAGUAGUGUGAAUUGCAGAAUUCAGUGAAUCAUCGAAUCUUUGAACGCACAUUGCGCCCUUUGGCAUUCCGAAGGGCAUGCCUGUUCGAGCGUCAUUUAUCAACCCUCAAGCCCGGCUUGCGAUUGGGUCCCGCCGUGGGCGACCACGGCGGACCCGAAAGGUAAUGGCGGUGCCCGUGGGGCCCUGGACGCAGCGAGCUUCUCGGCACGCGUCCCGGCGGUCCCCGGCGCCGUCUCCACCAAUCCACCACGCAGAUUGACCUCGGAUCAGGUAGGGAUACCCGCUGAACUUAAGCAUAUCAAUAAGCGGAGGA
Molecule: unclassified non-coding RNA, 339 nt
Filed under: soil metagenome
Description: partial contains 5.8S ribosomal RNA, internal transcribed spacer 2, and large subunit ribosomal RNA
Rfam family: 5.8S ribosomal RNA (bases 1-120)
Source: RNAcentral